RNAcentral lists this long non-coding RNA (2277 nucleotides) under Equus caballus (horse). Its description in RNAcentral is "lncRNA (ENSECAG00000048811.1)". Lineage: Eukaryota; Metazoa; Chordata; Mammalia; Perissodactyla; Equidae. The record is from RNAcentral.
GGCAUGCUGCUUUUACAUGUUUGCUGCUGACAGCCUCCAGCCCACAUUGCCCUGCCAAGCCACCCCUCAUCUGGGCCACACUGAUCUAACCUCACAGAUUGACUCUGCUUGAAACACAUGCCCACCUGUGCACCGCCAUUGCCAGGGAAGCAGUGCUCCCUGAUGGCCAGCCUAGCUUGGGUGACAAUACCAACCCUGUGGAGGAUGAAAGUGCAAGAAGAGAGUCUUGAUCUGGCCCUGGCUCCCUCUGACCCAGAGUCAGCGCUCUCAGACUCUGCUGUACGUGGAGGGCCUGGAGCCCAUGAACCUGGGGACUUGUCUUGCAAGUCUACAGUCAGACCAUCUGUACUUCACAAGGUCCCUUUCUCAAUGGCCCUGCCCUCCAUCAUUCUCCAACCACAGAAUUCCAUAACCAGUACUUCAUGCCUGGAGAAUGUAGAAGAGGAUUCAGAACAAAUUAAAGCAAGAGAUACGGAGGCAGAAUGAGGGAGCUAAACCAUCAACAUUCCUGCUGCUACCUCUGGAUGGGAGAACACGGCCCCCUCUCAACUCUGAAGCUUGGGAGUUCCCUGGGAGGGCAGGGCUGGGUCUGCAGAGCAUGCGCGCCUCCCCUGCCUACAGCUGGGGCAUCAGGACUUCAGGCCAGUCCUGCUGCUGUGGAGGGACCUGCACAGAGAGCAGCAUUUGGGGUAUGGGACUCCCUUUAGAAUGUGGACCUAAUCCCUGGCCAAGGGGAGUGAGUAAGAGCCAGGCAAGAAGCUUCUGUUGAUCUGCAGGCAGAAGGAGUCUUACAAAAACGGAAUGCGGGUGGAGCUGAGCGCAGUGUUCUUAGGUCCUGAUCCCAGUCAAUCACCUUCACUCAGGAAGAAUGGUGAAAGAUAGAGAGAAGGGUGGGACAUUGUCCUCUACUCUUUCCUCUCCUGGAGAGUGUGGAGAAACUCUCCGCUUUGCCUCUCCUUCUCUAUGGAAAUAUGAGGGCCUUAUAAGCAUUUUUCUCUAAAAAUGCUCAUGGUUGCAGCAAGCAGACAUUCCAGAAACAAAUUUCUGGUGCAGAAAUCAUAUGUAUAAAAGCUUGAUGUGAGAAAAUGUGGGAUGUGUAUGUGCAAGGGGGUGCUCCUUGGUGCUUGAAGCUUGGGGUGCUUGUAAGGAAGUGGGGGAGAAUAAGGCAAGAAAGAUAUUGCCAGAUUCCGGGAGCCUCGAAUUCCAGGCCAGGGAGUUUGACUUUGAUCCUUAGGCACUGCAAAUCCACGCAUCUUAUUGGAAACAUCACUCUAAGCAUCUGUCCCCACCGAGCAGGGAGCUGUGCUGGGUUCCAUCAGACACAGCUGGCCUUAGCCACCCCUCCAUGUUACUUGCUUGUGAGCAAUGCUAGGUGUAUUCCUCUAGGUUUCAGGAUGAGAUCACAUUGCUUGUUUACCUAAAACAGACUGUAGGAAAUCUGCAACCAAAUAUCCUUGAGGUAAAUACAGAAACAACAGAAAAGCAAACAGCAGACGACUGAGAAUGGGAUCCCCUGAUGGAGUUUGGAGGAGGCAGAACACAGAGAGCAGCCUCUGGAGUGCCCAAGCCCCACAGCUCAUCACCCCGCAUCCAUUCUAAGGAUGGGGCAGAGCUGCAGGACAACACUGAGUGAGGGACAGAGACAAGAGACAAACGUGAGCUUUGGACUCACUAACUCAAGUCAGAAACAAUAUUAGGGAAAAAUAAAGGUUGACUCCAUAAAUAGAAGAAUUUAGUUCAGUUAUAGAGAGAACCAUGCCAACAGUUCAAGCAAUUUAAAGGAUGUAAUGAACCAGUGUGAGGACUAGUCCCCCAGUUUCUCCCCAAAAUUGGUAAUAUUAACUCCUUAUACUCAUUCAGCGCAUUGCAAUUUGCAAGCCCUUUCACAUGAUGUUAUCUCUUGGGUCUUCACAAACAGCCUGGGAUCUAAGGAGGGCUAGGGAAGAAGGAGCCCCAUUUGAGGAAACUGAAGCCCAGUUCCAUGACCAGGUCUAGAACCAGGCCAGCUUUCCCUCUGGCUCCACUGUAAUGCCAUAGUUGUGUUGGUGGGGGCUUUCCUUGAGAAAGAUGAUGGAGGCAUUGAUCAAUAGUUUAUCAGUCUGUCCUCCAUAUAGAGGUCUGCAAUAGACAAUGUUACCAUGAGGCUUCAUUCUAUAUGGUACCAUCCAUCCAUACUAUUUCCAAAGUGACUAGGUCUACUUAAUCUAAAGUGGGUAAGUAGAAUGAUAAAUAGAACUGUAUUUACAAGCAAAGAUAGAUAUUGAAAUUAAAACUGGG